This 432-nucleotide long non-coding RNA is filed under the name Salmo salar (Atlantic salmon). RNAcentral describes it as "lncRNA (ENSSSAG00000101959.1, ENSSSAG00020008441.1)". The record is from RNAcentral. Lineage: Eukaryota; Metazoa; Chordata; Actinopteri; Salmoniformes; Salmonidae.
GUGGUUGUGAUAGAGGAGGUAGGGUGUGGUUGUGAUAGAGGAGGUAGGGUGUGGUUGUGAUAGAGGAGGUAGUGUGUUGUUGUGAUAGAGGAGAUAGUGUGUGGUUGUGAUAGAGGAGGUAGGGUGUGGUUGUGAUAGAGGAGGUAGUGGUGUGUGUUCCUGUGGUUCUGCUGAUGGGUCUGGUCAGGCAUAAGAUCACAUUGGUUCCUCUGUCCGAACCACAAAGCGGAUUCUAGAGAUAGCAGACAUCAGUCAAUGUGUCACAAGUGGCACCAUAUUCCCUAUGUGGAGCACAUUGUUUGAACAGAGUCCUAUGGCCCUGCGAUAGACUGGCGCCUUGUCCUGGUUUGUUCCUGUACAUCGAGCUGCCUAACGCUAGAGACAGCAGAUAGACUCCUGCUUCUAUGAGCUGUUCCGCUUGUACAGGCCAAG